Long non-coding RNA from Vidua chalybeata, 694 nucleotides. RefSeq lists it as uncharacterized. The record is from RefSeq and is a predicted model, not a curated record. The transcript is spliced from 2 exons. NCBI's taxonomy places the organism in Eukaryota, Metazoa, Chordata, Aves, Passeriformes, Viduidae.
GCCGCCAGCGCUCCAUGUCCUUUUCCUUUCCCUUUCCUUUCCCGUCCCCAGGAUGCGGCACCGCGUCCUGCGGGGCUCCCUCCGCACCACCGCCCCUCUCCAUUGACCGCCCUCCCCGGCCAGGGAUGGCUGAGCUGCACCAGGAGAGGGUCAGGUCGCACAUCUGGAGGAAUUCCUUCCCGGAAAUGGUUGGCCUCGAUGAUGCCUGAGGUGACUCCAGCCCCGGUGACCCUGUGGUUCCCGCAGCCAGCCCCGCGGCCGGUGGCCGGGCCGGAGCGGGGCCGGCCCAGGCAGCUCCCGCUGUCCCCGGGCAGGUGAGCCUGCGGGCCGCAGGAACUGGGUUAUCGCCGCCUCAUUCCCCGCUCCGCGGGCAGGAGCGGCUCCUCCACCUCCGCACUGCCCGGAGCGGGAAUGCACGGCCUCGGGCCGGCCCUGCCGGGCUCUGCUCCCUGAACUCCGGGGCGCUCGGACACCGCUCCGAGAGAGACGUGCCCGGAGCCCGAAGGCUGUGGGAAGCAGCUGAGCCGGGCAGGCGAGGCAGCGAGCCCAGCGCCAUCCCCACAGCCCUCGGACAAGGGACAGAAGCUGAAGCAAGACUUGCGGUGUUUCUGUUUACGAUACACCUUCAGGUGUUCUCGAGCAUCUCCGGCCCGCUCUGCGGUCCUAACGUGAAAUAAACGUUUGUCUUCCCGUG